GACGAACGCUGGCGGCGUGCUUAACACAUGCAAGUCGAACGGAAAGGCCCUGCUUUUGUGGGGUGCUCGAGUGGCGAACGGGUGAGUAACACGUGAGUAACCUGCCCUUGACUUUGGGAUAACUUCAGGAAACUGGGGCUAAUACCGGAUAGGAGCUCCUGCUGCAUGGUGGGGGUUGGAAAGUUUCGGCGGUUGGGGAUGGACUCGCGGCUUAUCAGCUUGUUGGUGGGGUAGUGGCUUACCAAGGCUUUGACGGGUAGCCGGCCUGGGAGGGUGACCGGCCACAUGGGGACUGAGAGACGGAGCAGACUCGUAUGGGAGGCAGCAGUGGGGAAUAUUGCACAGUGGGCGGAAGCCUGAUGCGGCAGCGCCGCGUGCGGGAUGACGGCCUGCGGGUUGUAAACCGCUUUCGCCUGUGACGAAGCGUGAGUGACGGUAAUGGGUAAAGAAGCACCGGCUAACUACGUG
RNAcentral lists this ribosomal RNA (468 nucleotides) under uncultured bacterium. RNAcentral's name for it is "partial 16S ribosomal RNA". It matches the Rfam family "Bacterial small subunit ribosomal RNA", at positions 28 to 507 of the family's 1533-position model. The record is from RNAcentral.